GACGAACGCUGGCGGCGUGCUUAACACAUGCCAGUCGAACGGAAAGGCCCUGCUUUUGUGGGGUGCUCGAGUGGCGAACGGGUGAGUAGCACGUGAGUAACCUGCCCUUGACUUUGGGAUAACUUCAGGAAACUGGGGCUAAUACCGGAUAGGAGCUCCUGCUGCAUGGUGGGGGUUGGAAAGUUUCGGCGGUUGGGGAUGGACUCGCGGCUUAUCAGCUUGUUGGUUGGGUAGUGGCUUACCAAGGCUUUGACGGGUAGCCGGCCUGAGAGGGUGACCGGCCACAUGGGGACUGAGAGACGGCCCAGACUGCUACGGGAGGCAGCAGUGGGGAAUAUUGUACAGUGGGAGGAAGCCUGAUACAGCAACGCCGCGUGCGGGAUGACGGCCUUCGGGUUGUAAACCGCUUUCGCCUGUGACGAAGCGUGAGUGACGGUAAUGGGUAAAGAAGCACCGGCUAACUACGUG
This 468-nucleotide ribosomal RNA is filed under the name uncultured bacterium. RNAcentral describes it as "partial 16S ribosomal RNA". It matches the Rfam family "Bacterial small subunit ribosomal RNA", at positions 28 to 507 of the family's 1533-position model. The record is from RNAcentral.